CCUACGGGUGGCAGCAGUGGGGAAUAUUGCACAAUGGGGGGAACCCUGAUGCAGCGACGCCGCGUGGGUGAGGAAGUACUUCGGUAUGUAAAGCCCUAUCAGCAGGGAAGAAAAUGACGGUACCUGACUAAGAAGCCCCGUCUAACUACGUGCCAGCAGCGGCGGUACUACGGCGGGGGCAAGCGUUAUCCGGAUUUACUGGGUGUAAAGGGGGCGUAGACGGGGUGACAAGUCUGGUGUGAAAGGCCGGGGCUCAACCCCGGGACUGCAUUGGAAACUGGCAUGCUGGAGUGCCGGAGGGGUAAGCGGAAUUCCUAGUGUAGCGGUGAAAUGCGUAGAUAUUAGGAGGAACACCGAUGGCGAAGGCGGCUUGCUGGACGGUAACUGACGUUGAGGCUCGAAAGCGUGGGGAGCAAACAGGAUUAGAUACCCGAGUAGUC
Molecule: ribosomal RNA, 440 nt
Filed under: uncultured bacterium
Lineage: Bacteria
Description: partial 16S ribosomal RNA
Rfam family: Bacterial small subunit ribosomal RNA
Source: RNAcentral